Molecule: non-coding RNA, 126 nt
Organism: Hydractinia symbiolongicarpus
Lineage: Eukaryota; Metazoa; Cnidaria; Hydrozoa; Anthoathecata; Hydractiniidae
Product: small Cajal body-specific RNA 8
Exons: 1
Source: RefSeq, a predicted model, not a curated record
UGGAAGUGAGAUACAAAACAAAAACAGAGCUUUUUUUGUUGCCAUUUGCACUUCCUAGAAUAAACACACUCUCUGAUGACCAUUGCAGUUAAGUAAUAACAAUGGACAGAUACGGAGUGAAUAUUU